GACGAACGCUGGCGGCGUGCUUAACACAUGCAAGUCGAACGGAAAGGCCCUGCUUUUGUGGGGUGCUCGAGUGGCGAACGGGUGAGUAACACGUGAGUAACCUGCCCUUGACUUUGGGAUAACUUCAGGAAACUGGGGCUAAUACCGGAUAGGAGCUCCUGCUGCAUGGUGGGGGUUGGAAAGUUUCGGCGGUUGGCGAUGGACUCGCGGCUUAUCAGCUUGUUGGUGGGGUAGUUGCUUACCAAGGCUUUGACGGGUAGCCGGCCUGAGAGGGUGACCGGCCACAUUGGGACUGAGAUACGGCCCAGACUCCUACGGGAGGCAGCAGUGGGGAAUAUUGCACAAUGGGCGGAAGCCUGAGGCAGCAACGCCGCGUGCGGGAUGACGGCCUUCGGGUUGUAAACCGCUUUCGCCUGUGACGAAGCGUGAGUGACGGUAAUGGGUAAAGAAGCACCGGCUAACUACGUG
Molecule: ribosomal RNA, 468 nt
Filed under: uncultured bacterium
Lineage: Bacteria
Description: partial 16S ribosomal RNA
Rfam family: Bacterial small subunit ribosomal RNA
Source: RNAcentral